GGUGCUUGCAUCAUGAUUUACAUUUGAGUGAGUGGCGAACUGGUGAGUAACACGUGGGAAACCUGCCCAGAAGCGGGGGAUAACACCUGGAAACAGAUGCUAAUACCGCAUAACAACUUGGACCGCAUGGUCCGAGUUUGAAAGAUGGCUUCGGCUAUCACUUUUGGAUGGUCCCGCGGCGUAUUAGCUAGAUGGUGGGGUAACGGCUCACCAUGGCAAUGAUACGUAGCCGACCUGAGAGGGUAAUCGGCCACAUUGGGACUGAGACACGGCCCAAACUCCUACGGGAGGCAGCAGUAGGGAAUCUUCCACAAUGGACGAAAGUCUGAUGGAGCAACGCCGCGUGAGUGAAGAAGGGUUUCGGCUCGUAAAACUCUGUUGUUAAAGAAGAACAUAUCUGAGAGUAACUGUUCAGGUAUUGACGGUAUUUAACCAGAAAGCCACGGCUAACUACGUGCCAGCAGCCGCGGUAAUACGUAGGUGGCAAGCGUUGUCCGGAUUUAUUGGGCGUAAAGCGAGCGCAGGCGGUUUUUUAAGUCUGAUGUGAAAGCCUUCGGCUCAACCGAAGAAGUGCAUCGGAAACUGGGAAACUUGAGUGCAGAAGAGGACAGUGGAACUCCAUGUGUAGCGGUGAAAUGCGUAGAUAUAUGGAAGAACACCAGUGGCGAAGGCGGCUGUCUGGUCUGUAACUGACGCUGAGGCUCGAAAGUAUGGGUAGCAAACAGGAUUAGAUACCCUGGUAGUCCAUACCGUAAACGAUGAAUGCUAAGUGUUGGAGGGUUUCCGCCCUUCAGUGCUGCAGCUAACGCAUUAAGCAUUCCGCCUGGGGAGUACGGCCGCAAGGCUGAAACUCAAAGGAAUUGACGGGGGCCCGCACAAGCGGUGGAGCAUGUGGUUUAAUUCGAAGCUACGCGAAGAACCUUACCAGGUCUUGACAUACUAUGCAAAUCUAAGAGAUUAGACGUUCCCUUCGGGGACAUGGAUACAGGUGGUGCAUGGUUGUCGUCAGCUCGUGUCGUGAGAUGUUGGGUUAAGUCCCGCAACGAGCGCAACCCUUAUUAUCAGUUGCCAGCAUUAAGUUGGGCACUCUGGUGAGACUGCCGGUGACAAACCGGAGGAAGGUGGGGAUGACGUCAAAUCAUCAUGCCCCUUAUGACCUGGGCUACACACGUGCUACAAUGGAUGGUACAACGAGUUGCGAACUCGCGAGAGUAAGCUAAUCUCUUAAAGCCAUUCUCAGUUCGGAUUGUAGGCUGCAACUCGCCUACAUGAAGUCGGAAUCGCUAGUAAUCGCGGAUCAGCAUGCCGCGGUGAAUACGUUCCCGGGCCUUGUACACACCGCCCGUC
RNAcentral lists this ribosomal RNA (1347 nucleotides) under Lactiplantibacillus plantarum. Its description in RNAcentral is "bacterial SSU rRNA". It matches the Rfam family "Bacterial small subunit ribosomal RNA", at positions 64 to 1398 of the family's 1533-position model. The record is from RNAcentral. Lineage: Bacteria; Bacillati; Bacillota; Bacilli; Lactobacillales; Lactobacillaceae.